RNAcentral lists this long non-coding RNA (1005 nucleotides) under Salmo salar (Atlantic salmon). Its description in RNAcentral is "lncRNA (ENSSSAG00000112073.1)". The record is from RNAcentral. Lineage: Eukaryota; Metazoa; Chordata; Actinopteri; Salmoniformes; Salmonidae.
UCUGCUGUAGUACUGUAGUAGUACGAUCUGCUGUAGUAGUACGAUUUGCCGUAGUACUGUAGUAGUACGAUCUGCUGUAGUAGUACGAUCUGCUGUAGUACUGUAGUAGUACGAUCUGCUGUAGUACUGUAGUAGUACGAUCUGCUGUAGUAGUACGAUCUGCUCUGUAGUACUGUAGUAGUACGAUCUGCUGUAGUAGUACGAUCUGCUCUGUAGUACUGUAGUAGUACGAUCUGCUGUAGUAGUACGAUCUGCUGUAGUAGUACGAUCUGCUGUAGUACUGUAGUAGUACGAUCUGCUGUAGUACUGUAGUAGUACGAUCUGCUGUAGUAGUACGAUCUGCUGUAGUACUGUAGUAGUACGAUCUGCUGUAGCACUGUAGUAGUACGAUCUGCUGUAGUAGUACGAUUUGCCGUUUUCUGAUCUUGACCGUAAGCAAGAGAAUAACAUACUAUUCCCCCGCUGUAGAGGGGUGUCUACAGAUCCACUGGAUUAAUGAAGGGGUGUCUACAGAUACACUGGAUUAAUGAAGGGGUGUCUACAGAUCCACUGGAUUAAUGAAGGGGUGUCUACAGAUCCACUGGAUUAAUGAAGGGGUGUCUACAGAUACACUGGAUUAAUGAAGGGGUGGAUUAAUGGAGGGGUGGAUUAAUGAAGGGGUGGAUUAAUGAAGGGGUGGAUUAAUGGAGGGGUGGAUUAAUGAAGGGGUGGAUUAAUGGAGGGGUGGAUUAAUGAAGGGGUGGAUUAAUAGAGGGGUGGAUUAAUGAAGGGGUGGAUUAAUGGAGGGGUGGAUUAAUGGAGGGGUGGAUUAAUGGAGGGGUGGAUUAAUGGAGGGGUGGAUUAAUGGAGGGGUGGAUUAAUGAAGGGGUGGAUUAAUGAAGGGGUGUCGCCAGAUACACUGGAUUAAUGGAGGGGUGGAUUAAUGAAGGGGUGGAUUAAUGGAGGGGUGGAUUAAUGGAGGGGUGGAUUAAUGGAGGGGUGGAUUAAUGAAGGGGUGGAUUAAUG